CAUGGAAUAAUGGAACAAGGUUUCGGCCGAGUUUUAUUGGUUUUGUCGGCUGAGACAAUGGUUAACAGGAACAGCUGGGGGCACUCGUAUCCCGGCGCGAGAGGUGAAAUUCGUGGACCGUCGGGAGACGCCCUAAAGCGAAGGCAUUUGCCAAGAGUGUUUUCAUUAAUCAAGAACGAAAGUCAGAGGUUCGAAGGCGAUUAGAUACCGCCCUAGUUCUGACCGUAAACGAUGCCAACUAUCAAUCCGCCAGUAGCUUCCAGUUAUUGGCGGGCGGAUCGACGGAAACGAAAGUUUUUCGGUUCCGGGGGAAGUAUGGUUGCAAAGCUGAAACUUAAAGGAAUUGACGGAAGGGCACCACCAGGAGUGGAGCUUGCGGCUUAAUUUGACUCAACACGGGAAACCUCACCCGGCCAGUACAUCAUAAGGAUUGACAGAUUGAAAGCUCUUUCAUGAUUUGAUGAAUGGUGGUGCAUGGCCGUUCUUAGUUCGUGGCGUGAGUCGUCUGCUUAAUUGCGAUAACGAGCGAGACUCCGACUGUUAAAUAGCACCGAGAUCCUCGAGUCUCGGAGGCUUCUUAACUGGAUUCGCGGCUUCAAGCCGCAAGAAAUGGAGCAAUAACAGGUCUGUGAUGCCCUUAGAUGUUCGGGGCCGCACGCGUGCUACAAUGAUGGUAACAGCGUGAUUGUCCUCGCCCGACAGGGCUUGGCAAACAGUUGAGAUAUUAUUAUGGCUGGAAUUGAGUGUUGAAAUUUUCUCUCAUG
Molecule: ribosomal RNA, 764 nt
Filed under: Aphelenchoides rutgersi
Lineage: Eukaryota; Metazoa; Nematoda; Chromadorea; Rhabditida; Aphelenchoididae
Description: SSU rRNA
Rfam family: Eukaryotic small subunit ribosomal RNA
Source: RNAcentral